This is an RNA transcript of Musa acuminata AAA Group (dessert banana), 2720 nucleotides long. RefSeq lists it as uncharacterized. The record is from RefSeq and is a predicted model, not a curated record. The transcript is spliced from 5 exons. Lineage: Eukaryota; Viridiplantae; Streptophyta; Magnoliopsida; Zingiberales; Musaceae.
GGACCUAGACAUGGGGAACGAGAUGAGGUGGAGGAUGUAGUAUCUGCUUGUGUGCGCGCCCGUGGGACGCCUUCUCUUUGAAGUCCUUGCCCGCCGCAGAAACUGUGGCUUAGCUGACUAGUAGCUUGUCAGGAUCGGCGUGAAACAUCUUCUGCAACGACUUCUCCUGGGGAAACGUUGCCAUUGUUGAAGACACAUCCCGAAUCCAGCGUCAUAUGGUUGGUACAAGAAACUAAAAACUAAAAACACAAAACACCAGACAAACAAAACGUUUCCCAGUUUGGUUCUCCGCCCCCAAGGCUGGCAACUUGGCUGCGAUCAUGUAAUUUGCAUCUCUCUCUCUCUCUCGCUCGCUUGCUCUCUCCCGUAUGUCGAAACCCUACAAACGAAUCAUCAAUGGCUUCGGCAGGCUCUACACCCACGAAUUCCCGGCGAGUCCUGCGCCACGAAGCCCCAUUUCUUGGGGCCAGACGCGGUUCUUGAUUUCGAACCCCUUCAGCUCCUGUCGCACCUCAAAUCUCUCGCCGUCUUCGGAUUCCGCAUCCCCGAAUCGCAUCUUUUCUCGUCUGUUCGCUUUGAAUUGCAACUCGAGGCAUCGGGGCCCCGUGACCGCCGCUAAGCUGCCAUCUUUGGGUCUCGGGAUCAAGGGCCUCGCUCGGAUCAACGAGAACGGGUGUGGCUCCCGGUUCUUCUCCUUCAAGAGUUUGAAUUAUGGCAAGUACAGCAGCUUCGGUGUGGGCAUGGGGAAAUCGGUGGUCGAUAAGCCAUUGUCGGCCGUUUCAUCGGCUUUCUCUCGGUACCGCCAAGUGGUUGGAUUGCAAAUGGAGGCGUUUUGGAAGAGGAAUCAUAUGAUACUAGUGUGGAGCGGGGCUGUGGUUGUCUGCAUUGUACUCUGGAGGAUCAUGUUUGGGAUCGCGAGCACCUUUGUUGGCCUUUCGGAAGGCACGGCGAAGUACGGGUUUCUUGCGCUCGCGUCAGCCAUUGUGGCCUUUGCGGGAAUGUGUUUUCGUGCACGGUUUGCUAUCAACCCUGACAAGGUUUAUAGAUUAGCAAUGAGCAAGUUGAACGCAUCUGCUGGGAUUCUGGAGGUAAUGGGUGCCCCUUUAACUGGGACAGACUUGAGAGCAUACGUAACAUCAGGGGGUCAACCCAAGCUUAAAAACUUUAAGUUGAAGUUUGGUGACAAACGGUGUUUUCUACUUUUUCCUGUCCGAGGAUCUGAAAGGAAGGGUCUUGUAAGCGUUGAGGUCAAGAAGAAAAAGGGUCAGUAUGUCAUGAAGCUACUUGCGGUUGAUAUACCAAUGGCUUCAGGGCCCGACCAGCGACUGUUCGUCUUGGGGGAUGAGCAGGAAUACAGAGUGGGAGGAGGAUUGAUAUCUGAACUAAGGGAUCCCAUAGUGAAAGCAAUGUCUGCAGAGAAGGAAUUCCAAGAUCUAGACCAGAAAGAGGACGAAGAAGAUGAAAUCAGGGAGAGGGAGGAGGCAGAAAGAAGGCAGCAAGUGGAGAAGCAAAGAGCACUUGAGCAGGCAGAAAAGAAUCGGCAUGAAGAGGAAAAAAGGAGCAAUUGAUGCAGCUGAGAGCAAACGGUGCUGAGUCCAACGACACGGAGAAAGAUAAUAGAAUUAACUGGUGGCAUUACAUCUACCAUUCUUCAUUUCUCGAGUAUCAGAACAGCGGCAUCCUGGCUUGCAGAGAACAAAAUUUAUGUGGUACCGUAAUUCUUUUUUACCUGCGAGAAGUUUACGACAGAGUUGGUGAUUUUUGCGAGGGUGUUCGAGCCGAAUCAAAAAAUGGAAUCGAAUCGAUUCAAUUAUAAAUGAGUCUGGUUCGGAGGUAUGCUUCUUUGGUUCAGUCAAUCGGUUCGAUAAGUUUAAUUUCAAUUCGGUUGGAUUGAAUUGAAUCGAUUUAUCUUAAAAAUAUAUUUUUAAAAAUUACUUAAAAUUAUAAAUCGAUUCAAUUGGAUACAUCCAAAUCGAUUCGAUUUAUCUUUGGCUCUUUACGAUAACUGCGGUCCUUUAUUUCAAAUCUUGCAAAGCUUUAUAUUCUUGGCAUGACAUGGUAUAGCCCCACUUGCACCUUUUGAUAGCAACAACCAUGUAGAGUUUCUUGUGCACGUCCACUGCCGUUCAUUUUGGUUUCUCGUGAGAGGUUUGUCCACAAAUUGACCGCUUUCCAAGUCUGACUACUGUUAUACGUCUCUGAACGUUCUAAACACGGCACAUAAGAGAGAGAGAGAGAGAGAGAGAGAGAGAGAGAGAGAGAGAGAGACUAAAAGUAAAGUUUUUGGCAACAAAUGAAAGGUCUGUGGGAGACUCUUCCACUUGGCCUUUUCCAUGGCACAAGACAAAAGUGUUAUGGUUAAUAAUUCACGGUCUUUUCCAUGGCCAUUUGCUAUCAGAGGUCCUCUAUAAUAGAUGAGAUAGAAAAAGAUGAGUACUGACACAUGACUGGCUGACACGCUUGUGAAAAGCUGACAGCGAUGAUGGUAGAUUUCUCCACAUAUUCCUCCCUCAGGUUCUCUAGGAUAAGGUUGGAAUUGAAUUUUAUAUAUAUACAUACAUACAUAUGACAGAGGCAAUGAGAUAUUUUCGUCUUGUCAGCCUUGAAAUAUUUUCGUCUCUUUUUCCCUUUUUCUCUUCCAACAUAAUGCCAAAAUGGACUAAAGCCACAAACAAUACAAAAGAUGACUCGGUAGUCGACUUCAUUCCAAGCCAUCGAUU